CCGGCCUUCUGGGGAUAAUUUCUGUAGUUCAGUCCCAGAGAAGGCUCUCUGACAGUGUGGAGCACCGGAAACCACGCGAAGGAGGCACAGCAAUCUCUCUCGAGCCGGGACCCUGCUCUUAGUGUUGUUUUGUUGCGGCUGCUGUUUGCCACUGUCGAUCGAUCGUUCUCUUCUUUCAGGAGAGUAAGAAGGGGAGGGUGCAGUCUGAGUGGU
RNAcentral lists this small nucleolar RNA (213 nucleotides) under Saimiri boliviensis boliviensis (Bolivian squirrel monkey). Its description in RNAcentral is "Small nucleolar RNA U3 (ENSSBOG00000001828.1)". It matches the Rfam family "Small nucleolar RNA U3". Rfam says of the family: Small nucleolar RNAs (snoRNAs) are involved in the processing and modification of rRNA in the nucleolus. There are two main classes of snoRNAs: the box C/D class, and the box H/ACA class. The record is from RNAcentral. Lineage: Eukaryota; Metazoa; Chordata; Mammalia; Primates; Cebidae.